AUCCAAUGACAGGGAUCUGUAGCAGGGCCUUCCCAUUAACCAGUCUGUGUUCUCUUUUCUGAAACCCUCCUAGAUGGGUCCCUGUGACCUCUUCUUCAACAGCAGUGGCCGGAAGAACAACAGCUGCUGUUCAUAAACCUUGCUUUACACCUCCUGUCAACCAUUGGAAUUUGUCGCUGCUUUGUUUUGAGUCUGGAACCCCAGCCCAUAAAACGUACUGCGCCAAUGGAUAGUCCUACCUGGGACGACAUCAUGCUCUCGGAUGCGCUAGUAUCUGAUUUCCUCUCUGUAUCGGCUGCUUUCGUAUUACUUCAACCAAAGGAUCUGACAGGAACACCCUAAGGAGGAAAGUUUAUUUCGACUCCUGGUUUCAGAGUGGGGCAGACUUGUCAGAGCCCACGGCCGGAGCAUGUGAUGGGAGACCCUUCACGUCACAGUGGGCCAGGGCUAGAGGCUGGGCUAUCUUCUGGGGUCUGACUUAAAUGACCUCCUUCCGCUAGCAAAGCGCCACUUCCCAUUCCACAGCCUCCCAGAAUAGAACCACCACAUGGGGAAUGAGCUCUCAAAGCCUGAGCCUGUGGGGGCACUUCAGAGUCAAGCCGCAAUAUUCUACCACUGGACCUAAAGGCUCGUGGGCAUCUCGUGACCAGAGCUGCAUCGUGUCUAAUU
Molecule: long non-coding RNA, 669 nt
Filed under: Mus caroli (Ryukyu mouse)
Lineage: Eukaryota; Metazoa; Chordata; Mammalia; Rodentia; Muridae
Description: lncRNA (MGP_CAROLIEiJ_G0006046.1)
Source: RNAcentral